Vicugna pacos (alpaca) is the source of this 1928-nucleotide non-coding RNA. NCBI's taxonomy places the organism in Eukaryota, Metazoa, Chordata, Mammalia, Artiodactyla, Camelidae. The record is from RefSeq and is a predicted model, not a curated record.
UCAAAGUUACUCUAGGACCUCGUCAUGGGGUGCAUGGUUGAGGCCAGACUGGUGCCAUGUUUGAGUUCCAGCUGGUGAGAGAGCGAAAUUAUGUGCAAGGUUUUAUGUAUGUGUAAGUUUUUGUGAACUUGGCCUGGAAGUGGUCCGUAUCCCUUCUUAGUCACCUGGCCGUGCCUAGCUGUGAUGGACGGUGGAAAAUGUAGACCCUGACUGGACAGUCACAUCCCAGCUCAAUUCUAUGAUUGUGGACGAUGGGGAAGAUGGAUUUUGGUAGACAAUUGGCCAUCUCACUGCAAUGUAUUGCUUCCCCCCUCUCAUUUCUGGAAUUGUUUCUUCCCUGCUUACUUUGUUUAGUAACUUUCCCCUUCUUUUCUAUCUCAUGGCAACCUCAGGGACACAUUAUGUAACCAGUGAGUAGGUUUUAGUUCAAGAAGAAGGCAAUAGUUUUGUUCUAGGUAGUUGUUGGGCAAAGUGGAUAGAAGUGCCCUCCUAUACCAUCUGACUCUUUAUAAUAAUCAUAUUUUGAGGGCUUACUUCCUGUAAGGCAUGGAGCACAUGCAGAGACAUCAUGUCUGUUUACCAUACAUAGGAGUUCCAGAAAACAGCCUGUGUGGAUGAAGAGUUAAGGGCACAUGCACCUACAGAGUGAGAUUAGAACCAAAUCAUAGAAUCCAGAUAUGUAGCCAUGUCCUACCCUGCAGGGAGAGUCCUACGUAGCACAUGCAGAGAAGCUUGGACUGGAUGGGAAGGAAUGUGCAUUCGGUGUGUGCUUCACAAAGGACGUGCUAUGGAAGAACCUCACACUCUGAGUAACCCCUCCCUUCCAUCUCAGGACUGGACAUACAGCCUUGAGCCUUAGCAACGAUGGGUCUUAAGGGGCUUGCUCUGUGGAAAUCAUGGUUUCUUCUAUUCAAAUGGUCCCAUUCAGUGUUCUGUGGGUCUCCUGAUAUCUAGGGGCAUCCUCAAAUAGAAGUGACUGGACUGUCAGGAGGAGCGUUUUCUGUAUCUGUUGGGGAAGUCUGCCUGGAUUCUGUAGGAGACCAGAUGAGAUGACCUCUAGUUCCUUUCCAAAUCCGGGCCUGUGUUCUAAGGUUAAAUGGAUAUUGUUCUAAGGUGUCAGACAUCCUGAACCACUAACAUCUGGUCUUUUCUUCCGCCUCAUGGAAAAGAGGAUGCCGCUUUCUGCCACAGAUGGCCUAUCCUGGGAAAACUGGAGGAGCUGCUGGACAAGAGUUGGGGGUGAAAAGGGUCCCCUGACCCUCCAGCUCUCAGAAAGCUGCGUCUUCCAGCAGUAUCUGGAACAUUCUGACAGGUGGAUCUAAGCUCACAGCAGGACAUCUAAUGGAAGAGAGUAGCAGGUGAUGUGAGACUGGAACUCAGGAAAGACAACAAGGGGGUCAGCAACCCAGAAGAGAGGUCAAGAGAAGAGCGACAGACAGAGCACUGGGACGCAGGAAAGCUGUACUCAGCGUCAGGAGGAAGAAGCAUUGGCAGAGACAGAGUGAUCAGGAGGUAAACAAACUCGGGAGAUGCAAUAUAAGGGAAACUGGAGAGGAGACAGAUUCAGGGGCCUGACGCAAAAGAUGGCCAUUUUUACAGGACCUGGUGACUAGCUGGCUGUGGGAGUGUCUGACACCUUUGGGGUGCAGAUCACGAGAAAUCCAGGAAGAAAGCUAGAGAGUGAAGACUCACUUCAUUGGCUCCUGAGUCUACAGUCUGCGUCUUUCCUGGGUUUCAGCUACCUCCUGCCUUUCGGGUCUAUUAGCUGCCCUCCCGAUACAGGAAAAAGAAUAUGGGGCAAGAGGAUGGCCGUGACCCAGGUCUCGGUUGAGUCCCUGGGACAUGUCCCACCAAGCGUGGGUCCUUGCCUUCUUACAGGAAAGAAUUCAAGAGUGAGCCACAGUUGAGUAAAGGUAGAUUUAUUCAGA